Molecule: long non-coding RNA, 639 nt
Organism: Exaiptasia diaphana
Lineage: Eukaryota; Metazoa; Cnidaria; Anthozoa; Actiniaria; Aiptasiidae
Exons: 2
Source: RefSeq, a predicted model, not a curated record
UAAUAGAGGGAGAUGGUUAGGAAACCCGGCGAACUUCAAAGGGCCGGCCUAUUGUUUCGGAUUUGAUGUUGAACGUACCAGUCACGUGACUCUGACCGUGCACAAACACAACAGAGUUUCCAAGAUGGCGAACAGAACUAGCGAUCAAUUUGAGUUUGCCGACGAUUUUUACGCGACUUUUAGAUAUACUGAAGACAGUGAAGACUUGGAAGAGGACAUUAUAUCUAGAACUAGUGAUGGUUUCCUGAAAGAGUACACACUGCCAGCGAACCACUGACUGGAGAAAGAUAGGAAAGAAACACUCAAAUGUGAUAUUCGAAAAGAAUUCAUUCAUUUUAACACGGCCCAUUCUUACUAACAUAUUGCUUCUCUUUAUAUACAACAUUUAUAUAUAAUGUAUUUUAUUUGCAUACCACCAGGCAGUGAUAAUGAUAUAAAUUCAACAUUCAAUUUAGCUUGCUAGCACAACAACACACAGAGUACUGUAAAUUCAUUACAUGUAAAAAGCUGGUAAUUCAUAUAAACAUGAUCAAGUUCUGUUAAAACAGAUAGGAUGACUAUGGAUCAUUUAUAUUAUAAGCACAUGUGAAAAUUGAAUGUUUUCCUCAUCUGAUACAUUAAAAUUUCAUUUAAAUAUCA